AACGAACGCUGGCGGCAGGCCUAACACAUGCAAGUCGAACGCUCCGCAAGGGGAGUGGCGCACGGGUGAGUAACGCGUGGGAAUCUACCUAUUAGUAAGGAAUAACAGUUGGAAACGACUGCUAAUACCUUAUACGCCCUACGGGGGAAAGAUUUAUCGCUAAUAGAUGAGCCCGCGUAAGAUUAGCUAGUUGGUGAGGUAAUGGCUCACCAAGGCUACGAUCUUUAGCUGGUCUGAGAGGAUGAUCAGCCACACUGGAACUGAGACACGGUCCAGAAUCCUACGGGAGGCAGCAGUGGGGAAUAUUGGACAAUGGGCGAAAGCCUGAUCCAGCCAUGCCGCGUGAAUGAUGAAGGCCUUAGGGUUGUAAAGUUCUUUCGCCGCCGAGGAUAAUGACGGUAAGCGGAUAAGAAGCCCCGGCUAACUUCGUGCCAGCAGCCGCGGUAA
This 447-nucleotide ribosomal RNA is filed under the name uncultured bacterium. Its description in RNAcentral is "partial 16S ribosomal RNA". It matches the Rfam family "Bacterial small subunit ribosomal RNA", at positions 29 to 523 of the family's 1533-position model. The record is from RNAcentral.